UACGGAGGGGACUAGCGUUGUUCGGAAUUACUGGGCGUAAAGCGCACGUAGUCGGAUUUGUAAGUCAGGGGUGAAAUCCCGGGGCUCAACCUCGGAACUGCCUUUGAUACUGCAAAUCUUGAGUCCGGAAGAGGUGAGUGGAAUUCCUAGUGUAGAGGUGAAAUUCGUAGAUAUUAGGAAGAACACCAGUGGCGAAGGCGGCUCACUGGUCCGGUACUGACGCUGAGGUGCGAAAGCGUGGGGAGCAAACAGG
RNAcentral lists this ribosomal RNA (253 nucleotides) under uncultured bacterium. Its description in RNAcentral is "partial 16S ribosomal RNA". It matches the Rfam family "Bacterial small subunit ribosomal RNA", at positions 524 to 776 of the family's 1533-position model. The record is from RNAcentral.